Elaeis guineensis (African oil palm) is the source of this 1314-nucleotide long non-coding RNA. RefSeq lists it as uncharacterized. Lineage: Eukaryota; Viridiplantae; Streptophyta; Magnoliopsida; Arecales; Arecaceae. The record is from RefSeq and is a predicted model, not a curated record.
GGGGGAGACGUGGGAGGUGCCCGGGGCCGGGGAGGGAGGCGAGGGGGGUUGGUGGCGCCGGAGCCGGGGGAGGGGAGGUGGUUUGGUGGUCGCGUAGAGCCGGAUGCAGCGCGGACGGUGGGUGCGGCGCAGACGAUGGUGGGGUGGGGUCGCGGCGGGGAUGGGAGGAAGGGAAGGGAAGGGGGGAAGGGAAGGGAAGGGGAAAGGAAGGGGAGGCGGCGGGAGGAAGGGAAGGGAAGGGGGAAGGAAAAAAAAAGCCGCCGCCGCCGCCGCCCGUCAGUCUCCGUCGGUGCCUUCCUCCCCAUCUUCAUCGGCGUCGAGCCCCAUAGAUCUCCGAAAAAAGAAGAUGCCGAUCUCAUCUCUGCUCUCCUCGCCGCCACCUCCCGCCGGUCUCCGCCGUCGCCUCCCUCCCCCUCUGAUCUCCUCAGUGCUUUGAGACCGCGAGCUGAGCAGAGGUAUAAAGAUGGGUUAUUGCGCUUCGGUUCAGAAGAAUCCGGACUCCGCCAUGGGAUUUCGACUGGGUUUAGGCUCCCAGGCCAAGAGAUUCUUCAUUCCCUCCCCUGCCAAAGAGAAGCCUUUGAAUGGUCAGAUCUCAGUUGGUGGAUUCGAUUUCAAGGGCAAGGUGGUGGACUCGGGAGCAGGUCUUAGGAGCCCGGAGUUUGUUUGCUCGAGAAGAAAUUCAGAGAAUUGAGACAUGAAAAAUCUUGAUAUUACUAGAUACUGCUUUGAUGGACCUUGCAUCAAUUUCUUCAUAUUCAAGGAGUAUUUGCAGCAUCAAACAUUUGUUUCUCUGCAAGCGUCAGAGCACUGUAAAAUUCCUGUGAACCAUAAAAUUCUUGUGAUUGGUUCCUCAGAGCGGUUACCCAAGUUUCUAUGGACCAGCAAUCGUCACUGAUGAGAGAAUGAAUCCAAUGCCCAACUCAGUUAACAAAUGGCAAACCAGAAAAUCAGAGAACAGAAAGGCAGGAGCUUCUUUUUUUUCAUUUUUCCCUUAAAGAGUUUGGUCAACUAAAAUAGCAUCUAUAACAUUGUUACCCUUGCUGCAGAUGGUUACCUCAUCUUCAGCAUUGUUAAAAGAAUCAACAUAGAAUGACAAGUAUGCAGUGAUGAGGUGUUCUGCUGCAGUCAAAAAUCAAGAAGUAACAAAAGCAUAAGAAAACAUAUUUUGUUUGUAGCUCCGUCAAUAAACCAUCACCAAUUCAAGAGAUAUGCUCAAAUGUGUCAUUUGGUUUGUGCUAAACCAAGCAUAUCGUACCAUGCAACUGAAUCUCCAUGACUUUAAUACUAAAAAAAAUCAUCGAAUCAUUUGCAAUA